GGAGGCCACUGCUAUUGGGAUCCGACUAAGCCAUGCGAGUCGAGAGGGUUCGGCCCUCGGCAGACUGCUCAGUAACACGUGGAUAACCUACCCUUAGGUGGAGGAUAAUCUCGGGAAACUGAGAAUAAUACUCCAUAGAUCUAGGAUGCUGGAAUGCACCUAGAUUGAAAGCUCUGGCGCCUAAGGAUGGGUCUGCGGACUAUCAGGUUGUAGUCAGGGUAAAGACCUGACUAGCCUACGACGGAUAUGGGUUGUGAGAGCAAUAGCCCAGAGACGAUAUCUGAGACACGAUAUCGGGCCCUACGGGGCGCAGCAGGCGCGAAAUCUUCACAAUGUGCGAAAGCACGAUGAGGGGAUCCCAAGUGCUGGCACGUAAGUGUCAGCUGUUUCUUUGUCUAAAAAACAAAGAGAGUAAGAGCUGGGUAAGACGGGUGCCAGCCGCCGCGGUAAUACCUGCAGCUCAAGUGGUGGCCGCUAUUAUUGGGCCUAAAACGUCCGUAGCCGGUUUAGUAAAUGCUUGGGUAAAUUGUGUAGCUUAACUAUACGAAUACCGGGUAGACUGCUAAACUUGGGACCGGGAGAGGCUAGAGGUACUCCUAGGGUAGAGGUGAAAUUCUGUAAUCCUAGGGGGACCACCAGUGGCGAAGGCGUCUAGCUAGAACGGGUCUGACGGUGAGGGACGAAGCCCUGGGGCGCAAACCGGAUUAGAUACCCGGGUAGUCCAGGGUGUAAACGCUGCUUGCUUGAUGUUAGUUGGGCUCCGAGCCCAACUAGUGUCGGAAAGAAGUUGUUAAGCAAGCUGCCUGGGAAGUACGGUCGCAAGACUGAA
This 829-nucleotide ribosomal RNA is filed under the name uncultured archaeon. RNAcentral's name for it is "bacterial SSU rRNA". It matches the Rfam family "Archaeal small subunit ribosomal RNA", at positions 19 to 853 of the family's 1478-position model. The record is from RNAcentral.